Long non-coding RNA from Esox lucius (northern pike), 666 nucleotides. RefSeq lists it as uncharacterized. The record is from RefSeq and is a predicted model, not a curated record. NCBI's taxonomy places the organism in Eukaryota, Metazoa, Chordata, Actinopteri, Esociformes, Esocidae. The transcript has 4 exons.
AUCUGUAUGUAAUUAUAUUUACUGUACAUAUUAAUUAAGUUAAAAGUUUUUCUCAUGUGUCUAAUAGUUCAUUUUAAUUGAUCGAUUGAGUUAAGUGAACAGAUUAAGGCUUGGAGGAGGAACGGAAUAACUACUAAAGCCCUUUCGAAAAUACUGUUAGCAUGGGAAUUACGGUGAAGGAUCCUACUAUUCAACAACACUACCAUCACACUCCAGUCAAACGCCGAACACGGAAGCCCAGAAAAAAGAUCAGCAACACCAUUCAAGCCAUUGAUUUCCUAAUGAGUGAAAAUGAUGAGCGGUCCACUCAGGAGAUUAAGAAUCUGCUUUCAUUAAGUUUGGAUCCAAUGAUUCGUAAAAAAAAAAAAAGAACUUUGUGUGCUGCAGGCCCAGGCAUGGAUCGAAAGUCAUGAGAAAUUCAAUGAUGUCGUCUUUACCAAAGAAACCACAUUUGCUCAUGAGCAAUUUGCAAAAAAUUGCUAUAGAAAACUGGUAGAAGCUCAACCAAGCCCUCUCCCAAGCAUCCACUCAAACUCCAUGUGUCGGGGGCAAUUUAUCGUGAGGGACCAGGCCCGUAUGUGACUUUCCAAAGUAUUAUGGCUCAAGUUUUUUGAUAAGAAAUCAUCAAGGGCUCACCAAAGUGUUGGAACCUUUGUGAGAAUUGUU